This is a long non-coding RNA of Gallus gallus (chicken), 632 nucleotides long. The record is from Ensembl. NCBI's taxonomy places the organism in Eukaryota, Metazoa, Chordata, Aves, Galliformes, Phasianidae.
GCUUUCUCCACCCCACACAUAGAGAGAGUGGUUAUUUUCCUACUUCCAGAAGCGUCAACAAGGCAGUUAAUCACCAUAUCAAUGGUGAUAGCGUAACUUUGUUGGUGAGGGUAGCAUUUCUAGAGAUUUCUGAAAAUCAGUCAUAAUUUCCAAGUGCUGCGUUUCAUUACACUUUUCCUCACCCUGCUACAUCCAGGGCUUUGUUUCCAGGGUGGGCUGGAAUGCUUUAAAACAAGCACUCGUCUGUACUAUUAUUCCUUCCUUCCUCUUUGGAGCUGUGAAAGGCCACCAGGGCCUGUCUCCAGGACUCUCCCUAUAAAGGAUGUUUUCUUUAUGCAGACAAAGGCCACGGGGAAAUUAAGGAUAAAUGUUGCAACCUUAUGGAUUUACCUGUUCUCAGCCAAGAGAAGAGAUCUGUGUAAACAGAAUAUGCAAAACCAACGUUUUCAAGAUUUCGUCAAUAUAGUCAAUAAAAAAGCACGUCUUUAUUCCUAAGGAAAAGAGGAAAUGUAAGGAAGCUAUGAUGCAAACAGUAAAAAUAAAAGUUGAAUGCUGUAUGACAUAUUUUUGUUCUUUUCUCCACUUUAACCACUUUGCUUAAGUAAGACCAUGAAAGUACAAUACUAAAAAGG